Molecule: microRNA precursor, 70 nt
Organism: Pan troglodytes (chimpanzee)
Lineage: Eukaryota; Metazoa; Chordata; Mammalia; Primates; Hominidae
Rfam family: mir-24 microRNA precursor family
About the family: This family represents the microRNA (miRNA) mir-24 family. miRNAs are transcribed as ~70nt precursors (modelled here) and subsequently processed by the Dicer enzyme to give a ~22nt product. In this case the mature sequence comes from the 3' arm of the precursor. The extents of the hairpin precursors are not generally known and are estimated based on hairpin prediction.
Source: Rfam
GCCUCCCGUGCCUACUGAGCUGAAACACAGUUGGUUUGUGUACACUGGCUCAGUUCAGCAGGAACAGGGG